CAUUAAAAAUUUCAUCAUUUGUUACUGUUAAAAAUUGUUGUGGUUGACAAAAUAAUCAGAUAAGUUACAUGUGGCAUGCCACGCGUACCUCAUUACGACAUGCAAGGACUAGUUUUUAACAGUAGAAAUGGAUGAAAAUUUUAACA
Non-coding RNA from Gossypium hirsutum (cotton), 146 nucleotides. Lineage: Eukaryota; Viridiplantae; Streptophyta; Magnoliopsida; Malvales; Malvaceae. The record is from Rfam.